RNAcentral lists this ribosomal RNA (380 nucleotides) under uncultured eukaryote. RNAcentral describes it as "partial 18S ribosomal RNA". It matches the Rfam family "Eukaryotic small subunit ribosomal RNA", at positions 592 to 976 of the family's 1831-position model. The record is from RNAcentral.
CAAUAGCGUAUAUUAAAGUUGUUGCAGUUAAAAAGCUCGUAGUUGGAUUUGUGGCGUACGGUGUGUUCCGGGCACUUGUUGUCUGAGUAACCUGCUGUUGCCAUCCUUGGGUGGAACCUGUGUGGCAUUAGGUUGUCGUGCAGGGGAUGCCCAUCAUUUACUGUGAAAAAAUUAGAGUGUUCAAAGCAGGCUUAUGCCGUUGAAUAUAUUAGCAUGGAAUAAUGAGAUAGGACUUUUUUGCUAUUUUGUUGGUUUGCGCAAGAAGGUAAUGAUUAAUAGGGACAGUUGGGGGUAUUCGUAUUCCAUUGUCCGAGGUGAAAUUCUUGGAUUUUUGGAAGACGAACUACUGCGAAAGCAUUUACCAAGGAUGUUUUCAUUAA